This 45-nucleotide non-coding RNA is filed under the name Schistosoma margrebowiei. Lineage: Eukaryota; Metazoa; Platyhelminthes; Trematoda; Strigeidida; Schistosomatidae. The record is from RNAcentral.
AUCCAGAUGACGAGUCCUAAAUAGGAUGAAACACGAGUCUUGGAU